AUUGAACACUGGCGGCAUGCCUUACACAUGCAAGUCGAACGGCAGCACGGGAGCAAUCCUGGUGGCGAGUGGCGAACGGGUGAGUAAUAUAUCGGAACGUGCCCAGUCGUGGGGGAUAACGCAGCGAAAGCUGUGCUAAUACCGCAUACGAGCUACGGAUGAAAGCGGGGGAUCGCAAGACCGCGCGCGAUUGGAGCGGCCGAUAGCAGAUUAGCUAGUUGGUGAGGUAAAGGCUCACCAAGGCGACGAUCUGUAGCUGGUCUGAGAGGACGACCAGCCACACUGGAACUGAGACACGGUCCAGACUCCUACGGGAGGCAGCAGUGGGGAAUUUUGGACAAUGGGCGAAAGCCUGAUCCAGCAAUGCCGCGUGCAGGAUGAAGGCCUUCGGGUUGUAAACUGCUUUUGUACGGAACGAAACGGUGAGCUCUAAUACAGUUUGCUAAUGACGGUACCGUAAGAAUAAGCACCGGCUAACUACGUGCCAGCAGCCGCGGUAA
This 500-nucleotide ribosomal RNA is filed under the name uncultured bacterium. RNAcentral's name for it is "partial 16S ribosomal RNA". It matches the Rfam family "Bacterial small subunit ribosomal RNA", at positions 30 to 523 of the family's 1533-position model. The record is from RNAcentral.